This 253-nucleotide ribosomal RNA is filed under the name uncultured bacterium. Its description in RNAcentral is "partial 16S ribosomal RNA". It matches the Rfam family "Bacterial small subunit ribosomal RNA", at positions 524 to 776 of the family's 1533-position model. The record is from RNAcentral.
UACGGGGGGGGCAAGCGUUGUUCGGAAUUACUGGGCGUAAAGGGUUCGUAGGUGGCCAACUAAGUCAGACGUGAAAUCCCUCAGCUUAACUGGGGAACUGCGUCUGAUACUGGUUGGCUUGAGUGCAGGAGAGGAACGCGGAAUUCCAGGUGUAGCGGUGAAAUGUGUAGAGAUCGGGAGGAACACCGGUGGCGAAGGCGGGUCUCUGGGCAUCUCCUGACGCUGAGGCGCGAAAGCGUGGGGAGCAAACGGG